This 325-nucleotide ribosomal RNA is filed under the name uncultured eukaryote. Its description in RNAcentral is "partial 18S ribosomal RNA". It matches the Rfam family "Eukaryotic small subunit ribosomal RNA", at positions 1470 to 1796 of the family's 1831-position model. The record is from RNAcentral.
CCCUUAGAUGUCCUGGGCCGCACGCGCGCUACACUGAUGCAUUCAACGAGUUUCACCUUGGCUGAGAGGCCUGGGCAAUCUUUUAAACCUGCAUCGUGAUAGGGAUAGAUUAUUGCAAUUAUUAAUCUUGAACGAGGAAUUCCUAGUAAACGCAAAUCAUCAAUUUGCAUUGAUUACGUCCCUGCCCUUUGUACACACCGCCCGUCGCACCUACCGAUUGAAUGGUCCGGUGAAGCCUCGGGAUUGUGGCCAGUUCACUUUAUUGGGAGUUGGCUGUGAGAACUUGUCUAAACCUUAUCAUUUAGAGGAAGGUGAAGUCGUAACA